RNAcentral lists this ribosomal RNA (767 nucleotides) under uncultured marine bacterium. RNAcentral's name for it is "bacterial SSU rRNA". It matches the Rfam family "Bacterial small subunit ribosomal RNA", at positions 56 to 871 of the family's 1533-position model. The record is from RNAcentral.
UGCAAGUCGAACGAAGUAGCAAUACUUAGUGGCAGACGGGUGAGUAACAUGUAGGUAUCUUCCCUUUGGUGAGGAAUAACACGAGGAAACUUGUGCUAAUACCUCAUAAGUCUUUACAGAGAAAGCUUUAUGCGCCAAUGGAUGAGCCUGCACUUGAUUAGUUUGUUGGUGGGGUAAAAGCCUACCAAGACUUUGAUCAAUAGCUGAUCUGAGAGGAUGAUCAGCCACAUUGGGACUGAGACACGGCCCAAACUCCUACGGGAGGCAGCAGUAGGGAAUAUUGCACAAUGGAGGAAACUCUGAUGCAGCGAUGCCGCGUGAGUGAAGAAGGCCCUUGGGUUGUAAAGCUCUUUCGUCGGGGAAGAAAAUGACUGUACCCGAAUAAGAAGGUCCGGCUAACUUCGUGCCAGCAGCCGCGGUAAUACGAAGGGACCUAGCGUAGUUCGGAAUUACUGGGCUUAAAGAGUUCGUAGGUGGUUAGAAAAGUUGGUGGUGAAAUCCCAGAGCUUAACUCUGGAACUGCCAUCAAAACUUUUUAGCUAGAGUAUGAUAGAGGAAAGCAGAAUUUCUAGUGUAGAGGUGAAAUUCGUAGAUAUUAGAAAGAAUACCAAUUGCGAAGGCAGCUUUCUGGAUCAUUACUGACACUGAGGAACGAAAGCAUGGGUAGCGAAGAGGAUUAGAUACCCUCGUAGUCCAUGCCGUAAACGAUGUGUGUUAGACGUUGGAAAUUUAUUUUCAGUGUCGCAGCGAAAGCAUUAAACACACCG